RNAcentral lists this non-coding RNA (22 nucleotides) under Arabidopsis thaliana (thale cress). The record is from RNAcentral. Lineage: Eukaryota; Viridiplantae; Streptophyta; Magnoliopsida; Brassicales; Brassicaceae.
UAGGGUCGGUAACAAGUCUUUA